GGCCUUAUGUUCAGAAGAUAUUAGAUUGCAAAUCUAAAGAGGUAAUUAUAAAAACUUACUAAGGCUU
This 67-nucleotide transfer RNA is filed under the name Eucorydia linglong. RNAcentral describes it as "tRNA-Cys". Lineage: Eukaryota; Metazoa; Arthropoda; Insecta; Blattodea; Corydiidae. The record is from RNAcentral.